UGUUUAGCAACUCAAGUUGUGUGCAUACAUGCUACAAAUUCUUGAUCUAUUUACAUAUGAGUUAAACUUGAUUUUUAUGUGCUGUGUCAGUUGCCUUUCCUAUAUACUCCAAAAAAGGCUACUAGAGUGAAGGGUUUUUUAAAAUAUAUAGUUCUUGAUUAAACCAUUAUAAUAAGUCACUGUGAAAGUGGAAUAAUAAUUGUAAGAAAAAUGUUUCUUAAUUCACAUUGUCUUUUUAAGAUUAGACCUGUUUACCAUUUUGAAGGAGUGAAUGCUAUUUAAGUAAAAAAAGAAAAAACAAAUAAAACAAAUACUGUAUACAAAAGACCAAAUUAAUUCCUGGUGUAAUUCCAUUGACACCAGUGUUAUUACAUCAGUAGUACAUUUGGCCAAAUAUGUUGAGAAUACUACUGAUUUUUUUUAAGAUACACUGUUAAGGGUGACAGGCCAGAGAGCCUAUUUGAGCUUAUUUUUGUUGCUGACACAACCCUUUCCUUUGUGCUUGUUUGCAUUAUUCUGAUAUGCAAUCUUUUAAAAUGAUAUUUAGAAGUACAGUAUCUCUCUAGCAAGAUUCUUGUAGAUGGUUUUAGUACCCAUAUACAAGAAUAGGUACCAGACAAGCACGCUCAAGAAAAUAGUUCUGUAUUAGUUCUCUAAUUGGCCAUAACUAAGAAAAGAGAGUAAGAAAGAAAUUGGCCUUGUAGCAAUUUAUGCAAAAAAGUAUUGGAAUUGGCUGCAAUACCUUGGAUUAAAUUUAGGUAAAAUGUGUGGCUAUUUAACCUUGUUGCUGUGCUUCACAUAUUGCCUUUACAACAGUCUGGUUCUUGUGAUCCUCUAUUUUAUUAUAAUUAUGAAACAUUUAUAUUACAGUAGCACCAAGCAGAGUGGGGUUUUACUAUGGUAAGUGUUGUACAAACACUAGGACACAGUUCUUGUCCCUACUGUGUAUUUAAUGACAAAAAUUUCCAACUAAUGUGAUAAAAUAAAAUAUUACCAAUAAAGCGAUAGGCAGCAUGGCCAUGAUCCAGCAAAGCACUUAAACGAGCGUAAUUUUAAGUUAACAUAAAUGCUUAAAUGUUUUGCUGCAUGGGUCUAAAUUAGUGGAUUUAGAGAAGUUUGUACUGUAUUAAAUAAAGUUGUAUAUGGUUCAGUGUCCUUUUCUAACAAAAGUACAGAUCAGGGUAUUUUUGUACAAAUAUAAAUUAGAUAUAUGUGUGUUCAGCCUUGCUAGUUUUAUGACUGUUUGCACUUAUGGGCUUGCCUGGAUGUGAAUUUACAGACAGAAAGUUAUUUUUAAUGUUAUUACCAAGAUAACUAAAUUAUGAUUUCAAGACACACAUGAAUAUACAAUAAAAGGAUACAGUGUUUUUAUAAAGUGUUUCAUUUGUGUAUUGUUGUGAAUUAUGUAAAUAAUUUUGUAAGGCACACUUCCAAUGUUUUUUGCAAUAUACCAAUAAAUGGAAUCUUGGGUAGCUUUUAUUUCAGUGAGCACAACUGUCUUAGCAUAAAUGAACAGCCCAUUUUCUGGAUUGAAGUGUACAGUGAGGAUAAUAUACAAACAUGCUCUUCUUCACUCUUGAAAGAAUAAAAUUUAUAAAAAGUCAGCCUAAUUCUUUUGCUUGUAUGGGAAAAAUUAACAGAGCUGAAUGUUUGUACAGCACCUAGCACAAUAGUGUUUCUACAAAAGAGUAAUAACUAAUACGAUAAGGAGGUUUAGUCGAAACUUUGUGACUGAUAAAAAUUGGUGCUGUUGAAUUCUUUUAUAAUGAGAAAAACAUGUUACUGUGGAAUACAAGAAGACUCCUAAUGACUACCAGGCUUCUGCUGCACAGAACUGGCAAUACUUAAAGAGAAAUCUGGCCACUUUAAGCAUUUAAUAUGUGCUAAGGUCUGAUUCACUGGUGUCCAUUUAAUGAACCUCUGAAGUUGCGGUAACUUCAAAAGAAUUCCCCUGAAAAUAGGGGAAGUACCCAUCAGGUGUAGUCAUCUUAUCUUCCAGCCUCAAGAUACUUUGUCUGAUGUAUAAUGAGACACAUCAGUUAUAAAAUUUACAUACCAUCUUGCCUUUUUAAGAUUUACUAUGAAUUCUCCCCUACCUAAAAGGACCUCUUAAAUCUUUUUGGGCCAAAUUCUGCUGUUCAUAAAUCUCCCAUUGACUCCAGUAGGAGCUUUUACCUCAGAAAGGACUGCAGAAUUUGAUUUUUUGUUAGCAAAGGAGACAAAAGGUCCUAUAGUGGUGGAGCCUGAUUAAAUGCAGGGCAGACCUUCUUCAUUAGCGCUCAAGAAUUAAGAUGGGGUUAUUUUAUCUUAAUGUAAUAGUAUUUGUGAGUGAAGUUCAUUGGGUAUAUUAUAAAUGUUAACUUAUUCUAAAAUGCUAAAGGACAAGAACAAGCAUGAGAAAAUGGGCUCUUUAAAAAACUAUGUACUUCAACUCAAACUGGGAGUUGUCAUGGGCCUCAAAAUAUUAUAUGCAUCUUAUAUUCUUCUUAGUGUCAAUUGUAGUUUAAAUUCCUUGUGGAUAGGCUACAUCUUCUGUGUUUGCACAGUAUCAUGUGUAAUAAAAGGUGUGACAGAGGA
Dermochelys coriacea (leatherback sea turtle) is the source of this 2577-nucleotide long non-coding RNA. RefSeq lists it as uncharacterized. The transcript is spliced from 2 exons. The record is from RefSeq and is a predicted model, not a curated record. Lineage: Eukaryota; Metazoa; Chordata; Testudines; Dermochelyidae.